GAUGAACGCUAGCGGCAGGCCUAACACAUGCAAGUCGAGGGGUAACUAGAGUGAUAGCAAUAUUACUUUGGCUAGACCGGCGCACGGGUGCAUAACACGUAUGCAACCUACCUUAUACUGGGGAAUAACUUCGAGAAAUCGGCGCUAAUACCCCAUAACAUUGCGAAGAGGCAUCUCUUUGCAAUUAAAGCUCCGGCGGUAUAAGAUGGGCAUGCGUCCAAUUAGCUAGUUGGUGAGGUAACGGCUCACCAAGGCUACGAUUGGUAGGGGUUCUGAGAGGAUGUUCCCCCACACUGGUACAGAGACACGGACCAGACUCCUACGGGAGGCAGCGGUGAGAAAUAUUGCGCAAUGGACGAAAGGCUGACGCAGCCAUGCCGCGUGCAGGAUGACGGCCCUAUGGGUUGUAAACUGCUUUUGUACGGGAAUAAACCCUUCUACGUGUAGGGGGCUGAAGGUACCGUAAGAAUAAGCACCGGCUAACUCCGUGCCAGCAGCCGCCGUAA
This 506-nucleotide ribosomal RNA is filed under the name uncultured bacterium. RNAcentral describes it as "partial 16S ribosomal RNA". It matches the Rfam family "Bacterial small subunit ribosomal RNA", at positions 28 to 523 of the family's 1533-position model. The record is from RNAcentral.